Molecule: non-coding RNA, 161 nt
Filed under: Lactobacillus kitasatonis
Lineage: Bacteria; Bacillati; Bacillota; Bacilli; Lactobacillales; Lactobacillaceae
Description: Lysine riboswitch
Rfam family: Lysine riboswitch aptamer
About the family: Riboswitches are metabolite binding domains within certain messenger RNAs that serve as precision sensors for their corresponding targets. Allosteric rearrangement of mRNA structure is mediated by ligand binding, and this results in modulation of gene expression.
Source: RNAcentral
UCAUAGAGGUGCAGCUGACAAGAGUAGCAAUUACGAGUUAGGCAUAACGAAGACUAAUUGUGAAAGGGGAGGUUGCCGAAGUUUAUUCAUGCCAAAGAAUUAAGCUGGGUCGCAGUUGAAUAAGUUGCGAACUGUCGCGAAUAAAUCGCGGAGCGCUAUCG